GAUGAAGAACGUAGCGAAAUGCGAUAAGUAAUGUGAAUUGCAGAAUUCAGUGAAUCAUCGAAUCUUUGAACGCACAUUGCGCCCCUUGGUAUUCCGAGGGGCAUGCCUGUUCGAGCGUCAUUACACCACUCAAGCUAUGCUUGGUAUUGGGUGUCGUCCUUAGUUGGGCGCGCCUUAAAGACCUCGGCGAGGCCUCCCCGGCUUUAGGCGUAGUAGAAUUUAUUCGAACGUCUGUCAAAGGAGAGGAACUCUGCCGACUGAAACCUUUACUUUUACAGGUUGACCUCGGAUCAGGUAGGGAUACCCGCUGAACUUAAGCAUAUCAAUAAGCGGAGGA
RNAcentral lists this unclassified non-coding RNA (337 nucleotides) under soil metagenome. RNAcentral's name for it is "partial contains 5.8S ribosomal RNA, internal transcribed spacer 2, and large subunit ribosomal RNA". The stretch from base 1 to 120 matches the Rfam family "5.8S ribosomal RNA", at positions 35 to 154 of the family's 154-position model. The record is from RNAcentral.